RNAcentral lists this long non-coding RNA (22144 nucleotides) under Cricetulus griseus (Chinese hamster). Its description in RNAcentral is "lncRNA (ENSCGRG00015032462.1)". The record is from RNAcentral. Lineage: Eukaryota; Metazoa; Chordata; Mammalia; Rodentia; Cricetidae.
ACACACACACACACACACACACACACACACACACACACGUCUAGAAGGCUUUUUCCCAAAGCUUUUUUUCUUCUUUUCAUUUCUUAUUACAUUGAUUUAUUGAGUUACAGGUACAGUUUUCAGAUAUUUAUUCAUCUAACCUGAGUGAUAAUUUUUAAAUGAUUCUUCUUCAAUAAAAUAUCUUAAACUUAUAUUUUCAAAGUAGGCACUAGCAAUAUACUUUUUACCAAAUAUUUCACUUACACAUAAAAAUUUAUUUCAUUUGCGGAGAAAUUUUUUUUUAAUUUCUUCUUGUUGUGGUAAUUUAAGGAAAUUAGUUGACAGCAAAAGUGAUAGCAUGGCUUGAAAAAUGGCUUUAUAAUGUCAUGUGCUUUGAAUAGCUUACUCAGCUCCCAGCUAGACUCUAAACAUGUAGGAGACAUAAUUAUUUAAUAAUAUCAAGGGCAAUAAAAUCUCACACAAACAAUUUUAAUUGCUUUGAAGAAUAAAAACAGUGAGGCUGAUUUAUUCCUCAUUAAUAUUUAGCCUUAUAUCUAUGAAUGCAGCUAACCCAAGUUCUCUUUCAAUGGCCUCAAAUACACAGAAAGGGUGGAAUGUUCUGGGUCAGGGGGGUGCCUCUCUUCCUGCACUGGGCUGCUUUGACGGUUCUAAAUCAUCAUGCUUCUCUCCGGGAGGGAGGCUGGCUCAUACUGUCUAUUCUAGCAUGAAGGUGAAGAGAGACUCUGUGACUGUAGGCUCAUGUUUUAACUUGAAGCUCUGGCUGACCUUGCAAACAGCACUGGCAUUUAGUCUGAUUGUUUUAACACUCAGGGAAACACAUCUAACCUUAGGGUCCCUGAGAAACAGCCUCGACAUUGGCUGCUGUGUGUGAGCCUCAAGUAUGUUGAUGUGACCAAAUUUGUGUGACCAUGACCAGGGUAUAAGGGUUUAGGUUACCCCAAGUUCCAUUGUUCCAAUGUGGAAGCAGUUUCAUGAAGUCGUUGUGGUAACAGAUUAAAUAAAGUUAUGAACCAAGGGCUUCAUAAAAUGCAUCUGUGGAAAUAUCAUAAAGGUGAUUGCAGUCAGACAUAGAAAUCUCAGAUAUAGCCCUCAGAUGUUAUCUAACAUCAUUUUUCAUCUUUUGUUUGGUAGAGAAUAGGAUUUUGUUAAGUUAAUACAUUCCAAAUAUUUUUAAUCUGUUAUCGGGUUGUUAGGUCUGACACAGGUGGGCAAGGAAUGCCUCCUUAGGGGCUAAAGAGUGCCUGAAAGAAACUGUAUUACUCUGGAGCUGCAACAUUCCAGCCUCCCCAUGGCCACGGAAGUUUUAACCAGUGGUUCAACCUGUGUUGACAGCUUUGUCCUGGAAGUUCUCAUUCACACAUACCAUUAUUAAUGGAGGAUACUGUAUGGUUCCCUUCCCCUGCAUUUGUAAAGAUGAACAGAAAGCUAUCAGAAAGUCAAGGAGUACCUCUGUUUCUUUCACUCUCUGUAUGGAUUAUGAUAUGCUGAGAAACCUGUGAGAUCCCAAGAGCUCCAGAGUGAGGGUCGUUACAUUUGGAAGGUUGGUUAGUGAUAGUAUGCGUGUCUGGCAUUGUCAGUCAUAGUCGCCACCACUGCUCUUAUUCUACAGCAUCAGCAGAACUUCUGCACACAGAAAAAGCUUUAACAAUGUUGAUGAAUCCUUAAUUGGAAGAGGCAGGCUUCUUGACCCUCAAGGCCCUGGAUGAUAUACUCUUUCUCUUUGAUUUAUAUCUUAAACGUUAAAACUCUGUAACAAAAACUCGGUGCCAACUUGUUAAACAUCACAGGGAGAUUUGAUAAUAGAAAGCCUUGUACAAAAGGGCAUCCAGUUAGAGGUGAACGUGUAUAUCCACAGGGAAUUCUUGCUAUCUGGAGACAAUUGCAUCAUUUAUAGCUUUGACAGUAUUGGUAAUAGACUCAGGAGUCAUAUAAUGAAGCCUCUGUGAGGAAAGAGAAUAGAAACUUCCUAUCAUUUUCACUAGCAGGUCAAUAUCAAGAAUUAAAACUCUUCUGAUAUAAAGGUAUGCAGAAUUAAAUUUUUUCUAAGGGAAGUUUCUCUAAAAACAAAACAAAACAAACCAGAUAUCUUUCAACACAGACAAUUCUAAAGGCACAAUCUGCUGUUUGCAUUUCUGCAGAGAUAUGGAUUAACUUCCAUGCAGGAUUGUGGCCUGCAGUUGUAGUUGUAGUUUAACCUGAAAAUCAAGAACUAUGGCUGUGUGAGUAGGUGACAAAGGUGAGAUUUGCUAGUCCUCUGGUCCUCAUCUGCAGUCCUGGUAACCAGGGAGCUAGAGUGUAAGUGAGGUGGAAAACUCAGUUAAGGGUCCCUUAGAGUCCUUUCUUGUGCUCCUCAUUUGUCUGUGUUUUGUGGCUAAUGUCUACAAAAUCCUAUUUUUCUUCUGUUUGGGGGAGAUUGGGCCCAAGUGAAAAAAUGAUUGGGUUUAGACUAUUUGUUCACCACCUAGGUAAGUUUCUGUGGUUUUAAUAUACUUCCUUAAAUCACAUUAUAGCACUUUAAGGAAGAGCAAAAGCUUCCUUUGAGUGAACUGGAUAGAAUUUUCACCUUUAUUAGCUUCGUGACUUUGGGUAUUUACAUAACACACUAAGCCUCACUGUCUUUAAAUGGAUGCCUUAAGUAUAUUGACCUCAUAGGAAUUCUUGAGUUUUAAAUUAUGGAAUCUCUGUAAAGAUUUGGUACCACUAUGUGGCAUUUAAUCAGUAGCCAAUAAAUAAUCUCUUUACUGUAUGUGAUUCAGAUGUGAAAUAUUUUCUAAGGCUUUUGAUAAUGGUGAAGCACUAUCGUGAAGCCAGGGGAUUUAUUACACUUCAUAAAUCUUUGAUGUUGGUAGCUUCUGAAGAGGUUGCUCUGCAGGGAUGAGACUUAACUCAUCUGUCCUGGAAGGAAAGUGUCUGUUGGACACAACGAAUGUUGAGUUCCUCACUUGGAGAACUAGGGGAGAACUGGGUUUGGGGGUGGGGCUAUUGUCAAAGGGACCAGCUUUUCAAACAGUUCUGCCCCCCAUUAUUGCACCUCCCUCAGUCUCUGUGCUUCGUGAUGCAGGAGAACCAGUGCUUAAGUUGAAAUGAAAUAAUGCUAAAGCCUGACUUGUGGGAGGGGCCCCUGCACCUCUGCAGAAUCUGGUUGCCACUUUCUUUUCUAUUCUGUGUAAUUACAUAUCCAGUAGAACUUUUUCACUGACAAAGCAAUAUUUGGAUAAACACCAAGGAAGCCUUUAAAUCAACUAAUUAAUUCAGGAUUUCCUUCCAUUUCUUAAUUUUGAACCAUACUAUGAUUUUUUAAAGAAAAUUAAAAGCUAAAUUUACUGGAACUUCCUACAACUGGAAUGCCCUCAAAUUCUCGUGUAAUUUGUUGGUUUCUUCCCUGAAUCUAUCACCCUUCCUUCCUUCCUUCCUUCCUUCCUUCCUUCCUUCCUUCCUUCCUCCCUCCCUCCCUCCCUCCUCCCUCCCUCCCUCCCUUCCUUCCUUCCUUCCUUUCUUUCUUCCUCUGUUUCUCAUUCUGAGUAGUGUAUGAUGAGUCUUAACUUGAUAUAAAGAGCAGAAAUACAGUCCCCUUUUAACAGUUGUUGCAAAACCUUAUAGAUUGCUUUCACAUCAUUUUGAAAGAUCAUGCUGCAUUUUCAAUUCCCAGGUACCUCUGGCCUCUGGUAACACCUGGCCAAUUCUCCACUGCAUGUCUGGUAAUCCAGUCUUCAGUGGAUCUCAUCACCUGUCCCAACAUUCUCUCUCUCUCUGUCUCUCUGUCUCUCUCUGUCUCUGUCUCUCUCUGUCUCUCUCUCUCUUCUCUCUCUCUCUUUCUUUCUCUCACUCUCUCAUUCUCUCUCUCUCUCAUUCUAGAGAUUACCAACAUGAACAGAUAGAUGGUGGCGAGAAUAAGCAUACUAUAAUACAAUGUGAAAAGCACUUAAAUUGGCCAAUAAAGCAAUUUUGUCUGAAACCCAGCAAGCAGUAGAAUCAGAAAGUUUGUUAAUUUCAACUGUUUUUUUUUUAAAUCAUUUACCUGUCCCUCUACUUCUGCUUAUGUAAUUGGUCAUGAUUACAGAUGUUUCCCUUUUCAGUCCCAUCAACACAGCACAUUCAGAGCUCAAACUCUGGUCUUCCAAGCCCAUGCCUAGAGAAGACUCCAAUUUUUUUUUUAGAUAUCAAAUCAUGAUCUUAUACUUUAAAGGAUUUCCUUUCCUCUUUCUUGAAGGUUAAUUCUACAGAGACUUUGGAAUACCUCUAUCUCCACAUAUGUAUUAAGUUUAUACCACAGGCACUACCUUUAUGACUCUUAGGCCAUUUUCCAUGGAAAGGAAUGCCACUUUCCAUGGCAGCCUUCUUCUUCAAACCCUUACUGUCAGUGUAUGCUCUCUCUCUCUCUCUCUCUCUCUCUCUCUCUCUCUCUCUCUCUCUCUGUGUGUGUGUGUGUGUGUGUGUCUCUGUCUGUGUGUGUGUGUGUACAUGAAUGUGUGUUUACACAGGUAUGUGUACACUACUUAUUUUAGAUUCUUAUUCUUCACAGUUAAUGUAUUAUACGCAUUCAGUACACUGUGUGCUUUUACAUAGUAAUACCCAAUGAUCUUCUUAAAUCUGUUAUUCAUUAAAAACAGAUAAAAAUGAAAGGACUUACACUUUUUGAAAGGUUAAGCAUUUUACCCAAAGAAAAAAAAUUUCUACAUGUAAAAACUUCUAUCCAAUGUAAGAGCGCCUAUCCAAACAUUGCUCAGGUUGAUGGCGUGCUUGUGCAAGGCUGUCCCAUUAAACGAUAUCCAAUGGAGUAGUGUUUUAGAAUGGCACAGAACAAUUCCAAACACUGUCUUACUUAGUGAUGCACUUAACAAAAUCAAAUCGUUUGUAUUUCCUGAUGGGGAAUGUACUGUGUAUGUUUAUCUUAUUGAUUGUAAAAUAAAAUACUGUUUGGCCAAUGAGAUAGCAAGAAGAUAGGACUAGGAGUCAAAGAGGAUUCUGGGAAAUGUAGUAGAGAAGUGGUGAUCCAGGUAGGAAGUGACAUAGCAAGGAGACUCAUAUUUAAGUGAAGGAGAAACACGAAGGGUCCCUCCUUUCCCCUUCGCCUCCUCCAACAGCAGGAUGUGAUCCACCAGGAAGAAGAGAUGCCAAUAAGGUGUCCGAUAAGUCUUAUAAAAUAUAUAGGUUUAUGAUAGUUAAGACUGAGCUAGCAGAUGAGAAGUCCUAGUCAUUGUCCAAGCAGCUUUGAACCUAAUACAAGUUUCUGUGUAUUCAUUUGGGCCUAACUUGGGCCAUAUGACGCCACGGAAUAGGCAGAGAUCAAGGAAUGGAAAAUUACCCAGCGCCUGCGCAAUAAUCUUGUUUACAUUCGGUGCCUGCUGGAUGCAGCGCCAUCUUGUAAUGGAGAAUGCAGGGACGGCUCCCUACACUGAUGGCCCUAUCUUCUAGUUUGACAGCACACUAAUCUGCAGAACCUACUGACCAUAGUUAUGUGAACAAACCAAGGAGAUUAGUGGAGUCAUGAAGCAGGGCAGGCCAUUCCUGGUCAAAUUGUGACCUUGAGAUCUAAGUAAAUGUUUCUUGUUGUAAAUCUCCAAGUUUGGAAUAGCUUCAUGUGUGUGAAAUGCUUGAUAAAACAGCCAAAGCAGGCAAGUAAGUUGUUUUAAGCUUUAUUUUUAUGUCACUCCUCAGCUCAAAACUAAAGCCAGCAUCCCUCAGGUAGUCAAGUCCAUGUGUGUUCUGGGACCGUCUGACCUCACUUCGAGUCACUGUUUCCCUUUGCUCAGGUCUCCCAAAUACAUCAGUGUCGUGCUGUUCAUCAAACCCAGAAGUCACAUUUCACAUUAAUUCAUUUCAUUUAUCAAUAAUGUUUAUCAUACACUUUCCCAUAUGAACUAUACAAUGCCAUGUCUCAGGAUCUCUGCCUGAAUUCUUUUUUUUUUUUUUUUUUCUGAGACAGGGUUUCUCUGUGGCUUUGGAAGUUGUCCUGGAACUAGCUCUUGUAGACCAGGCUGGUCUCAAACUCACAGAGAUCCACUUACCUCUGCCUCCUGAGUGCUGGGAUUAAAGGCGUGUGAAACCCCUGCCCAGUUCUCUGCCUGAAUUCUUUAGCACUGAUUUUUGUACCCAUAUAAUUCAUGACACAGAUUAGAUCCAAAAUGACUAUAUAUGGAGUGAAUGAAUUAUGGGAGGCAAGGGAUUAGGAUUAAGAUAAUACAAUGAUUCAAGGUGUUUUGCUUAUAGGAGAGGCAUAUUGCUGUGAAUUUCAUUUAGAGAAUUAAAAUUUAAGAGAAAAAUGAAUAAAAUCCCAUGGUAGUUUCCCUCUUACUGUGUGUGUGUGUGUGUGUGUGUGUGUGUGUGUGUGUGUGUGUGUGUGUGUUCGUGUGUGAAUUUAUAUUGAAUAAUUAGCAGAAUUAUAGAAUGAGCCUGUGGAUAUUGAAAAUGACAGGAAUUAUGUCCCCUAGUCUACUCAUUAGAAAGAAUGAAAAUAGAAGUAAGUGUGUACAUUGACGCUUUUAAACUGUAAAAUGAGUAGGUGAUUCAAAAGGUCAAACCGACUGAUUAUCUUCUAAAUAUUCCAUUCUCUUUAAAAUAUGCCAUAUUUAUAUGAUAUUGUCCUUUACACUGUGUGACCUCUACGUUCAUCAAAGGCAGCCACAAUAUCCUAUGAUUUGAUGUUCCCUGAGCCAGGGUGAAAUGUUCUCUCUACAAAACAGUUUGAAAGUAAAAUUAUGCUUUGCCACUCCUCUUAAUUCUCAGUAAACACACUUUUCAUCUUUUUGAUACCUUGAGUAUAUUAUCUUUUAUGGAAUUUGUAAAGGUCAGAGAAGACAAUUUCCUUUCUAAAUAGAUGGCAUGUGAACCUCUCAUAUUUGAUCUGUCUGAAGAUGAACCUUUUAAUGCUUUUUGCCCUACCUCUGUCUUCACUGGUAAUGAAAAGGGAACGCUAUAAACUGUACAGCCUGCCUGUGCUCAGAUGCUUGGCAUAUUUUGUUUGUCUUGCAUCAUAACAUUCAUGAUCUGAAUCACUUUAAAAUGAUCUCAAUGAACUGUUAGCAUGUUGGUUUCUGUGAAGAAUGUCAUGCUACAAAAAUCUUAGACUGAAACUCUCCAUGAAGACAAAGGUUUAUGGCAGCAGCUUUUACGUGUGCUUCCUUCCACUCAUUCAUCUACGUAAUGGAAAAUUCUAGUAUACUCAAUACCCACUAGGCUCCUAGUUGAGCCCCUUUGCUGGGCAAUAUUAAUGGAAGACGUAGAUAUUCUUCUUGAAAUGAAAGUUUAGAAAUGAAAUCAGGCACUGUGUGCAAAAAAGUGUUUUUAUCUUGUUGUUAAAGAUAUAACAUACCUACACAAAUGUAUAAAAGUUACAUAGGAGAAUCGAAAUCAUCUGACAAAUUUGCAAUAUUUUCGAUAUAAAAAAUUCAAACAGGAGACUUAAUCCAGAAAGAGAAAGGAAGGGUCACUUCAUAACAAGUGCAUUAGGACUGAUGUGUUAAUAUUUCACUUCAUGGACUGUAUUAAUUUUCCUGGUAUGUGGCAGAGAAUGAUAAACAAAUUAUUGGGAUCUAUUUCAAACAGAAGAACAAAGAAAAACUCAUUAGCUUCUUUUGGCCUUAAGCGAUCAAUGCUUCUCCCUGUGAUUAAUGAUCCUUUCUGUUUGUCCUCAGCCUCGGAAACAGGUGCAACUUCAUAGAGGAAACUUUUUACCUUUUCUAUUUGGGGUCUUGAAAAAACACUUGUUGUUUAAAGGUUAAUUUGUUAAACCAAGAUGUUUCUUUUUCAGCAUAUUUAAUGAAAAAAAUUGUUUUCAAUUAGAAAAGUUUAAAUUAGAAUGAUUAAAAUGUGCAUGUAUUUUGGUAAUCCUAAACCAAAUAUUAUUAUGUAGGCGUGGUGGCAUAUACCUUUAAUCUCAGCACUCAGGGGGCAGGGGCAAGUAGCUCUCUGUGAAUUCAAGGUGUGCCUAGCAAGUUGUAGUCUGUUUUGGUGAGAUUUUUGUCUCCCAAAAUAUUUGUAUUGUGUUCCAAAAUCAUAAAAAAUGUAUUUUCUAUAUAAUGCCCAUUAUAAAUUUUCUAUGUAUUUUAUUAUAAAUGUACAUAUACUAAUUUAAGUAGUCAUGCAUCAGAAUAGUUGUAUAAUUAUGUAAACACACAAAAAUUAUAUGAACACAAGUUUAUGUAAACUCAUAUAUAUAUGAAAUAAAUAUGUAUAUAUAACAUAUAAGCAUAUUGAGUAAUCUCAAAAUUAUACAUAUAAACUAUAAAUGCAUACAAGCACAUUAAACAAUGACCAGUAACAGAAUCAGAUUCCAGAUCACAGAGUGCCAUAUUAAGAACAUGGAACUUAAAUCUGACAAUCCCGCGCUCCAUUCUCUCUCUCAUUCUACCUCUGUAACCUUAGGGAAAUGACUCAAUCUCUUUGAGUCUCAUGCUCACUUAGGCUAAUGGAAUUGACUAUGAGAGUUACUCAAUGUUAUGUUGCAGGUAGCAAGCCUGGGUCAGAACUGCUAAUCAGUAACAAUGACAUAUCAUGGCUUGGCUCUCUGUUGUCACUGAUCCUGAGUUCUGUGUUCUUUCUGAUGUAUUCAGUACUCAGAGCUUUAGUUGAUGUAACUUGCAGUUCUUUCUAAUACAACUGUAUCUAAUACACUGUGCUCCCUUCUGCUGAUUCCUAAGCAGAAACAGGACCUGGGCAUGAAAGCAGGAAAAAUGAGAUAGCUAAGCCAGAGAGAAAUCAAAAGGCGAAUGCCAAGUUUGCAUGCCCGAACACUUCAUAGACCCGAGGUACUGAGGUCUGAAAAUUCUAACCUUCUUGGAGAUGUGUUUUCUUGUGAAGUAUCAACGAAUGAAAAUGUGUAAGGUUUCAUAGACUGUGUGAUGGACACAGUGAAUAAUUAAGAGCUAUGUAUCAUUUUGUAUUAUUUUAUAAAGCACUUUCACAUUUAAAGGCUGCAUGUCUUUGGUCUCUCCAACUUAUGCUGAGAGAUUUCAUAACAUUUAAAAAUUAGUUUUUCUAUUGAGAUAGAUCCUAUACAGAAUCAUCCCUGAAUAGUUUUUUUUAAAUAAAUAACUUUUAAAGGAACUGAAUAAUUAUCUUGCCAGAGCACUAUUAGUUUAAAAGUGAUAUUUUCUUUAGGUCUAUUUAUAUGAUUUAUUAUAUGUAUGUGCACAUAUAAUAUGCAUUUUAAGUAAACUUAUACAAUAGUAAGUUUUCUUACGGCCUUUAAAAGAAUCCUUGUUGUUGUUUAUCCCUGCCCUCUCCUCCCUCUGUAUCAUCCUCCCCUGUCCCUAGCUAGACUCCCCUCCCCAUCUUUCUCAUUUCUCCCUCCAUAGCACCUAUGCUCUAUUGUCCCCUUCUCUUGGGGUCAGUUCCUCCUCCUCAAGGGGUGUCAUUUUACUUUCUUGGAUCCCAUGAUUAUUCUAAGUCACAUGCUCAAACCUGAGGAUUCAGAGCUAGGCUGGUCAUCUAGUGAGUCUCAGAGAUCCACACCUCCCCAAUGCUGGGGUAUAAGCAUGCAAGCCACACCCAUUUUAUAUUUUAGCAUUGGGUGUUCUACAGAUUGAACCCUGGUCCUUGUGUUUGCAAGACUUAUGUUGAUUGGGUUAGUUUCCUCAUUGCUCUCUCUCUAUUUCUCUCUCUCUCUCUCUCUCUCUCUCUCUCUCUCUCUUUGGUUUUUUUGCCUCAGGGUUUCUCUGUGUAGCUUUGGAGCCUAUCCUGGCACUCACUCUGGAGACCAGGCUGGCCGAGAACUCACAGAGAUCCACCUGCCUCAGCCUCCUGAGUGCUGGGAUUAAAGGCAUGUGCCACCAACACCCGGAUUUUCUCUCUCUCUCUCUCUCUCUCUCUCUCUCUCUCUCUCUCUCUCUCUCGUGAAUUUUCCAACGUCAUGCCCUCUUGCUCUUAUAUUCUUCCUCGUAAUGAGAAAUGCAGAGCCAGCUCACCGUAGAUGUCUUUGUCCCUCUCUUUAAGUCUAAAUAAAUAAAAGAUACUGCUCAAAUAAAGUUUCUUGAAUUAUCCUUAUAUUAAUAACAUAAUUUAAGUAUUAUAAUCCCUUAUUGUAUACUCUUUCCAAAUUUCUUUCUGUAUGUUUUAUGUGGCCCUUGGUACAUUUCUCAAUGUGCUUCUUUAUUAAUUAUUUUUCAUAUGGAUGCUGCACAUUAAUGAAAAUGUCAAGACUGCCAGAAAGGUUUAGAAAUUACUGUUCAGAUUUCUAGGUUUCACUUGAUUCCAUUUGAGACAAACAAAAGAAAUAAACAAAGGCUUGAGUCCUGCCUUUCUCUCUGUGUUUAACCACAGCAGUUAGCUUCUUGGGAACUAACUUUUCAUGAAGUUGGAGGAUUAGAUGAGGCAAACUUCAGCUUCCUUCUUCCAGGAUUCUAACCUCAAAAUUGCAAUGUCGGUCUAGGUGGUAGAGAAAAAAAUUCCUCAAGAAGUUUUCAGGUGUGUAAUUUGUGCCAUCCCUUCCUAUUUCAUAUAUACUUCUGUGAAGUAAUUAUUUUAUUUGCAAUUCUUGAUAACUCAUUAGAGAAAAUGUAUCUGGGGGAUUAAAAAACAUUAGCAUUUUUUUGAGUUCCCUUGAACCUAUAAACCAGUCCAUGAGUUCCUUUUGGUCCACAUUCUUUUCCCUUUUAAAAGCUCUCCACUUAGGCAUGGAGAGACAGCUCUGUGGAUGAAUUACUGGUCAUGUAAGUGUGAAUGCUGGAGAUCAGAUCCACGGAGUCCACAAAAAAACAAAACAAAACAAAACAAAACAAAACAAAACAAAAAAAAAAAAACAAGAGAAAACAAAAGCCCAGCCUGUGUUGGUGUGGCAAUUUGCCUGUGAAACCAUUACUCUGGAGGCAGAGACAAGGAUUUGAUGAGGGAUGUCCUUCUAUAUGCUGUGAAUAUAUGUGCCUCUUAUUCAUUGAUGAAUAAAUGCUGAUUGGCCAGUAGCCAGCCAGGAAGUAUAGGCAGGGCUCCCAGACUAGGCUAAUUCUGGGAGAAAGAUGCAGAGAGGAGAUGCCAUGUAGCUACUGAGGGGGUAGGAUGCCACCAGAGCAUUCUCUAGAUAAGGCCAUGUGGCAACACAUAGAUUAAUAAUUAUGGGUCAAUAAUUAAGAGAGAGCUAGCCAGUAAGAAGCCUAAGCCAUCAGCUGAAUGUUUUAUAAUUGAUAUAAGCCUCUGUGUAUUUAUUUGGGAAAAAAGGGCUGCGGGACCUUGCGGGACAGAAGCUCCAUGUUCAAGGAUUUUCAGGGGAAGAAGACUAUGUAGAUAGAUUAGAUGAAUUAAUGAGCUCUAGGAUCAGCAAGAGAUCCUGUUUUAAUAAGUAAAGUGGUAAGCAGUCAAGGAAGACACCCAACAUUAUCCUUGGGCCAUUACACAAUGCAUAUAGAUGCACACACAUGCAAACACACAUUCAAGCAUGCAUGUACAUCCCACAUUUACGUUGUAGAAUUCUUUUGUUGUAGAAUUCUUAAUUUUUCCUUGACAUCUUGAGAAAUCUGAAUCUUUGUUUACUCUGUUUUGGUAAAUUAAACAUUUACUGAGGUGUGGCUUACACUGUCCCCUACAGUGUUUUGCUAUAGUUGAUUGAAAACAUCAAAUAUAUUUAUUUAAUAUAAAACCACAAAAUUAAUUUCUUUCCCAUUAUCUCUUAGUCUACCUAUAUCCCCUCCAUUCAUUUCUCCUUUUGAUAUUUGUAAGUUGCCAAAACUUGGCUAUUGCUUUCCAGUUCCUCUUGAUUCUGAACCUGCCUUUCUGUUUUCCUCUGCAUUAAGUGGGCAACACUAUAUAUUCUGUUAUGUCCUAUGUGGAUUGUGUGGGGGACCAAAAUAUUUCCGCUAUGGAAUAUUUUGAGAUCCAGCCUGGGGUUUCACUAAACAUGGAGUACUGGAAAACUCUGGCCCACUAUUGUAUUGUUAAUGCCAGUAAGGCUACUGUUGUUUACCAUAGCCUCAGGCAGGUAAUGACUCUAGAAAUGACUCUAGUUCUACAACAUGGAACUGAGAGCUCUCUGAAGAAGACAAGAUGCCUGUGUUUGGUCUUUAUCGCCGCUGGGUUGCUAGGUGCUUCCAGGUCCACACACCCCUACUCAGACUGAACUUCAUGGAUUAAGGCUGAGACAUGCUGGGUCACAACAAAAUGGUACCCGAACUCGGGGCCUGAGAAUGGGGGAAGAAGCCAUGGACACCACGAAAAAAACGGACAAGGCAGAGGCUUGGACAAUUCGAAGAGAUAGUCAUCUCGGGCGAACCAGUUGGAGAAGAAGCACGCGCAGAAAAAGGAAGAAAGAAGUGGCCGAAUGUGGAGGAGAACGAGGCGUGCUGGCUACCAGAAAGAUUGGUGAGAUACGUGGAACCGAGAAAAAUGGGACCUGGGCCCACAGGAGACCAUCUGAAACAGCUGGAGUGAAACACUGGACCUCUAUUUCCUGAACUUUGAGUACAUCCGACUAAUAGUGGGAGGAAGAAGGGAGACACACCCAGUUCCAGCUUCCCUACCGACGGACUACAUUCACCUCUCUGAAUCCGUGAGUGCUCAUCCAGGAGCAGACUAAGAACUUGAUAAAAAAAAACAGCUUGCUUUCUUGCCACAAACAGACACACAAAACUGUUUUGCCAGUUUUCCUGUUGGGAAAAAGGACUCAUUUAGGACAGUCGGAUACUGGCAUAAACCAGAGUGACAGAAGCUCCUUCACAAUGCUUAAACAAGACAUGGACAAAAGACUUUUUAGUUAACUUUCAAAGACUGAUAUUACAAACCUGAUGUUAGAACUUCGGACUUUGAGCAAGAAAUAGAAAAGUUUGAAGGGGCAUUGAGUCCCAGGCAGGGAAUAAAGAAAAAAGGUUUAGAAUUGUGAAAUUGUUCACACCCCACAGAUUGUGAGAAUAUCUUAUUGUCUUUUGAUUGUAUUGUAACUCACCCUAAUGUAUGUUCAUGAGAUUGUUAAUGUCUGUAACCUUGCUAUAUGUGUUAAGCAAAUGUUAUUAGAAACUAGAAGUUAGAGUUCAAUGUAACAAAAAUGUAACGUGUAAUUUACAAGCCUUAGGAUAGAAGUAUGUUUUAAGGAGCAAACUUUAAUAAGGUCCAUAUCAGAGGCCCUAGAGGCAUUGUCACGAAGAUUUUAAAAGGCCAUUUUAACCUUCAUAUGUCUCCAUCCCGCAGGAGAAUGUAUGCAGCCGUGAGGAUUUUGGAGCUGGACCAUCGCCUAUUCCCCACUAACCUUAUUUGUUUUACAGAGACUGUUUCCAGCCAGAGAAAGGUACAGUUUUCCUUGCCUUCAGGGACUCCUAAGACAGAACAUGCAUGAUGGGAUGCAUGAUUCCAUGACAGGCAACCCUGGUAGGUUGAAGGGAGCCUCCUAAAACAGGCGCAGUCAUCUGUUCUGAUGCAGAAGCACAGGCUUCUUUUUAUUAAUUUAAGAGAGAGGAAUUGUGGGGGACCAAAAAUAUUUCCACUAUGGAGUAUUUUGAGAUCCAGGCUGGGGUUUCAGUAAACAUGGAGCACCAGAAAGCUCUGGCCCACUAUUGUAUUGUUAAUGCCAGUAAGGCUACUAUUGUUUACCAUGGCUUCAGGGUAAUAUGCCUCUUAUUUGCAUUUCUGUGGACCUAAGCAUCUGGAUAGGCCCUCACCUGGGCAGAGGUGAGAGGUGUGUGAGGAUGAAAGGUUAGGAGUUAGGGGCAAGCGACCAGAGCAGAGAGAACAAAGAAAGAUGGUUCCCUCGUAGUAUUGGCAGGAUGGUUAAGAAACACCAGAAAGAUGGCUAAUAAAGAAAUGACUCUGGUUCUACCACAUGGAACUGAGAUGAAGUUCUUUGCUAGCUAUUUGCAAGUUCUUAGCAAGUUUGCUAAGUUUUCUUAGUUUGCUAGUUCUUAGCAAGCUCUUUGAAGAUGACAAGAUGCCUGUGUUUGGUCUUUAUCGCCGCUGGGUUGCUAGGAGCUUCCAGGUCCACACACCCCCACUCAGGCCAAACCUCAUGGAUUAAGGCUGAGACAUGCUGGGUCACGACAGGAUUGUAAAUUUUUAUAGAGUGAGAAAACAAAACAUAAAGUAUAAAAUGUACAUGUAAAGCUAUACAGAAAACAUUAAACAGUUCCCAAGUAAUCUCAGUAUAUAAAUGAAUACAAUUGUCAACUUAAUUCUAAAUUGUAUUCAAGGCAAGUAAAGACUCUGUCUUAAACUUCAAGAGGACAUAUGGUUUCUUAUGUGUCAUCACAAGGGACUGAAAACCUCCAUUGCCUAGUCUAAAAGUGUCCCUUUGCUUUUUGUGUAAUGCUUUGAAUGAAUGAGUUCAUUAACACAUAACAAGGGAGGAUUGGGCUGAGAACUCCAAGUCCCUCACAGAGGAGAGAUGUUAAAGGGAUGCCAUAACCAACCAUUGUAAUUUAGCAGGAAUGAGAAGACAGAAAUACUGGAAAGAAAUGAGAAUGGUGGUGGACACCCUCAAUUGUAGAAAGUUGGAAAGACAUAGUCAUGGAUGCAAGAUGGAACCUGCAAGGAGGGCUUGAUUCAAACAGGAUUUCAGACUACCUGAAGACAGUACAAGGGUAGUGAGCCACAGUCAGAAUGUGUUAUCCAUUGCAUAUAGAGGUUUCCUUCUCUUUUCUUUUAAUCUUUGACACAAGAAAAAUGUUAGACUGUUGGUAUUUAAUUGUCCAACUCUCUUAUUUGUGUCCACACUAGGGAAGCAUGGCAGCCACAUGAUUAUUUUGUUUAGGGACAGGUUAAGUAGGGUUGAUGUAUAGAGAUAUUCUUUCUUUUGGUUAAUAUAACUCCACAACACUGAAUUACUGCACUGUUAAGUUUGAAUAGUGAGGCUGUUGAAGAAACAAAUUCUAAAAGGUCAUUUUUAUGCACAGACACACUUUUCUUAGGAAACUCCUCCAGGAUCUAGUUUAUUGAAUUUUUAUCCUGUUGCAUUAACUAAAUCAUGUAAUUUCACAUUUAGACAAAAUGAAAGGCACGUUAGUCAAUAGCCAUUAGACUCUAACACAAAUAACCAUUAACAACCUUAUUUUAUUUUAUUUUGGUUUUUUGAGCAGGGUUUCCUUGUGGCUUUGGAGGCUGUCCUGGAACUAGCUCUUGUAGACCAGGCUGGUUGAGAAUUCACAGAGAUCCACUUACCUCUGCCUCCUGAGUGCUGGUAUUAAAGGUGUGCGCCACCACCACCUGGCUGCACAACCUCAUUUUAUUGAGCACAAAAACAUACAGUAGUGGCCUCUCUCACAUGUAUCCUUAAAUACUUAAUAUUCCCCAAACAUCACUGUCCUAUUCACUUUCCAUUUAGGAUAGUGGGUUUCUUUUUAGAUAAGAACUAGAAUUUUUUUGAUGAAUUUUAUUUUUUUUCCAAAAUAGUUAUAUCAAUAAUUAUUUUAGUUAGUGUUUGGAUGGAUAUAUGAGCUCAAAAUUAAUACUAGUACAAAUAUGGGUUUAUUACCAAUUUAUCUGUGUGGUAUUGAAAGAUAAUGACAAAAUUUAAUUGCAAACAGACUUGAAUUAAUUUUUUUCAGCCUGGCCAAUGGUCCUAUAUUCCAUAUGGGUAUAUCACGCAAGGCUGUUUUUGCUGUGUUUCUCAAAAUGGUCCUGUUAAAUGAGCCCCUAAUUUUUUUGGAAGCUAAUAUUAAUUGUCCUGGAAAAUGUGGAUUAAAUGCUUAAAUAAAAGUUCAUUUGCUAAACUUAAGAUGAAAAAGUUGCAAAACUUUGCUCUUGGUUAACAUGCACUUGUUCAAAGCAAUUGAGAUUUGAAUUAUUUUGUACCAGAUUAUGAAAUGAAAUACUUUUUAAAUACAUGGAACAAAGAUUUGUGUCCUGCAUAUGCUUUGAAUCUGACGAAAUAGAUGCUUAGUCAACCAGCCUUCCUAACCAAAUGAGUCAUUUGUUUGCUUCAUUUCUUCUUAAGACCUGUGAGAGGUUUUCCAAGCUGUCCCUCUUGUAGCAGAUGGAAUACUCACAGGAGUCCAUCCCUAUAGCAACAACAGCUGCACUGGCAACCAGUGCUCUAUGGGUUUCUGAAUAGCUUGUAAGGACAUUGCAAUCUGAAAACCUCUCUUUCUACCACUGGGAUCCCUGUUGAUGCCAUUUGGAUAAUGUCUGGUUUGACCUGAAUCUCAGAGGAGAUUGCUAUCUUGCACAUGACUUAAGAGACUAUACGAUAAGAAUUAUAUGUGGGGAAUAGGUAUACUUUUUAUAGAUUUCCUCCUUUAAGUCAUAAGAUCUAAGUAUUUGACAUAUGUCACACAAAGUUAUCUGCCUUAAAUAAGCAUCACCUGAAACCUACAGUUGAGGAAGAUAAAAGUUAUGGGACUUAUUAGAUUAGACCUUCUAUAAAAUCAAGGGCCAUGGUAGAAAGUUUUCCAUGAAGUUAGUUUAUUAGUGUGUACAGAGUAGGUGUUAAAACAAUCCUUCAACAUACCUUCUCAUUUCGAAUGUACCUGGUAUUAGGAUUCACAAUGCUUUAUAGGUAUCCUUUGGUAAAGUCAUCAGUAGUGUCCCUGAUUUCAAAAACAGGAAUGCAGUCAUAGCAUUGGCCAUGCAUUGCAUAAACAUGGGUGAUGAUUCCAAGUGCUACCUUACAACUCAUUUAUUUAGGGUUAGUUUACUGGUAGUGCCAAAAUGAAGUUUAAAAUUUGGAGGGUAUACUGGUAAGAAUAACUUCAGCAUAUCAAAAUAUUUAACAAGUAUUAGCAUAGUGAUGAUUUGAGUGUGUGGAUCAAUCCUAACUUGGUAUCAAGAUAUGGUUUCAUUAUUGCUGAUAGCAUCAUUACCCAGAUCUUACCACUCUUUCCUCGUACUCUCAGACUUUCCUGAGCUAGUCUGGUCAAAAUGGUGCUCACAGAAAAUCAAUAGAGGAGGAGGGUAUGGUUUUAAGAUAGAAUAUUCAUGGCCACUCUCAUCUCAUGGGGACAAGAUGCAUGGGAGAAAAUAGGUCAGGUGGAAGCUUAGAGAAACCUAUGGCUUCUGUCACUGGAAAGCUCUGGCUCACCUAGACUAGUAAAUUAUAUAUUUAGAGAUUUUCAAGAGUAAACUCUGUCUGAAAGCUAAUUUGUAUGUCUCAGUUUAAGCUUACAACCAGUCUUCUGCAGUGAAAAGGGGCCUAUCAAUCAGAGUCUGCAUGGAAUUCUAAACACACACACUUGCCUUGUACUCUGUAGCCUGCAUGUCCAGGCUGUCAGAGGGAUCAUCAUUUUCACUACACUUUGUGUCAGAUAAACACAGCUUUCAUGUCACACACUCAGUACAGCGUGAUUGCAUGCGGCUGCAUUGAGAAUCCCUCAUUUAUAAAGUGGAACUACAGCAUAACAUGAUAGCCAAAAUGCUAUAAAUGAGCAUUGGGGCUACCUUGGCCUCCCUCCUAGGAGGUUGGGAGUUCUUGGAAAUGUUCACAAAGGUACUCAUUAUAACUGGGUCUUGUUUGGAGCACAGCUCAUGAAUGUGGAGCUUGUGGAUAACAUUACAGGGAAGCUCUGUUUUGCAGGGAUGCAAUCCCUUGCCAGAGAACCGUGUCUGCUCCACAUACGUGCAUUCCUUAUGCUGCCAGCUGUUCUGUUAUUAUCUUUUGCAGUCGGAAGGCUGGUUCUACUCUCGGGUGGCUUCCUCUGGGGUGAAAGAAAAGUAGGGACACCUGCAGCAGAUCUCAGGUCUUUCCUUUUAGCUGAGGCUGCUUCCAUUUGCUAUUUUUCUCCUCAUUCCCAGGCUUUCAAUUUGGUUAUGGUCUAUAGGUACUUAUUUUUUCUUUCAUUUUGACAUUGUUUUUGAGAAUUGAGUGCAUGAAUAAUAUAUUUACAUUAUUUUGACCUUACUCUCUCUACUAACUCCACCUCCUCUCCUUCUCAAAAUCAUGGUGACCUACUUUAAUUAUUAUAGUUACACUCUCAUAGUUACAUACAUACAAAGAGAGAAAUGGAGACAGGCAGAGAGACACUAUACACAUAUAUGUAUACAUGUGUAUAUAUUCAUACAACCUGCUGAAUGUACUUAGUGUUGCUCAUAUGUAUAUUUAGAGCUGACGCCAAGGAUUCGAUAACCUACCCAGGGGAACUACUUUUCUUGUCUCUCCAACCUCUUGUUCUUACCUUCUCAUUUCCCCCUAAGUUUGGAGAGUGUGCGGUUUGCUGAGAAUUCCUGUUUGCUUCUGUGUGUCUGUGGCCUCCUGUCUUCUUCUAAUUUACAUGACCUCUUAUCCUGCGGUGACUUGGAACAGAGAUCGACUCAUGCACUUUUCCAUUGAGCUGUACCCUCGCUGUCCUGUUAGCAAGACACUCAAUUCUGUUCCCACACAUUACAGAAUAUUUAGGCUUUGAGUAAUGGAAACAGUGAAUACCAACUCUGGUAGCACUUUGAAUUCCUGAGCGUUGGAGUUCAAUUACAAGUGUGUUUACUGUAUUAUUAGAGCUUGUUUCCCUCAAUGAGGGCUUCACGAGCUGGUGACUAAAUCCCUUAUUUGGAGUCUCUCUCACUAUCAUCAACACAUUAGUCACUUAAAACUUUUCAGUGAAUCAGAAGAGAAUAACUGGUAGCUGAGGAUUUAUAAUUAUGUCCUUUCAAAGGUCCACGAGAACAAAUGGAUAGGAAACUAUCUCCUUUUGCCUGACUGUAUUUGUAAAUUAUAAUGUAAUGACUCAGUUUCUCAGUUUGGGAGAAAACAUAUAUUUUUAAGGAUUAGACUUUGUAUAAACACAAGAUUUAUGUCUGAUUGUUCAUAUGUAUUUAGUUUCAUAUGCAGGAUUUGAUAUGAUUAAAUUAGCAACAUAUUACUAACAUUUCAUUUGUUCAUAACUUAGAAAUGAUUUUGUGUUGGAAAAUCUCUGUCAGGUUUGGAGAAUGAACACAAAAGAUUAUUUAGAGUGAACAUAAGGAAAGGAGAAACAAUCUCCUAUAUAUAAAAGGGAUUCUUUGGUUGGAAUCCAUACCAUAUUGAAUACCAUUUCUUCUCCUUAUGCUCACAGAUGUGAUACUGAGAGAAGCUCUGUGGGCAAGGAGCACAAAUCCAUCAACACAAUAACUAUAUUGCAGGAAAAAGAAACUGUAGUCCCCUUCAUAGUGGAAGAAAGAGAUAUGACACUGUCCUCUAACUCUCUCUCUCUCUCUACACACACACACACACACACACACACACACAGAGAGAGAGAGAGAGAGAGAGAGAGAGAGAGAGAGAGAGAGUUCCUCAGAGAGUGACUUUUGUUACUAAUGUUGGGAGGUAUAACUGAGUUGGGGCUGUAGAUUUAGCCUUGGUGUAUGGAGAACUGUGGAGUAAUUGCUGUAGGAGUGGUUGCCAUGGAAGCCUGAGCCUUUUGCUUAUGCAAUUUAAUUAUACCCCAGAACCUCUUUGAGCCUGAUAUUUUAUAUAAUUCCACCAUUUCAUGAUGUAAUGCUGUUGCUCAGGUCCAAAUUUAUAGCAUGAUGUGUCAAAGGAUUCCAGUUUACGAUGAGUGUCUAAUGACCCCUGCUAACUUGAUGUACUUUGGUUAAGAUUCAUUUCUAUGAAGAUAAGAUAACACACUCACCAUUGUUCUUAAAUGAUGUGACUCAUCUGUAGCAGGAGACAUUACUUUGGUUUACAUUCCUGAUGGGUUUCUACCAGGGUCUCUGUGGUGGUUAAUAUGGAUUGUCAACUAGAAAAGAUUCAGAAUCACCAAAGAGGCAGACCCCUGGGCAUGACUGUGAGGGAUUAUCUGUAUUGAGUUGGAUUAGGAAAACUCUUUAAAAGUGUAGGUGGCACCUACAGUGACUGAGAUUCCAGAUUGAAUAAAAAAGAGAAAGUGAACUGAGUACCAGUGUUUAUCACCUUUGAUUCCUCGGUGUGGACAAAAUAUGACUAGGUUCCUUAAGCUUUUACUAACAUGACUUCACCACCACGAUGGACUGUACCCAUGAAUUGUGAGACAAAAUGUUUGUUUCUCGUCAGGUGUUUUGUCAUGGUAGCAAGAAAAUAACUUGUAUAGCCUCAUUGCAGCUUUGUGUAUUUCUAUGUUCUAGUCAUUUUAUGCUCUACCAUGCAUUGGAUUUUUUUUGCAACAUAUGAAUCAAAUAUCAAGACACCUUUACAGAGCCUGAGUUUGAUGAUAGAUUUUCCUAGCUAGGUGUAGUAUUUACAACUGUUAGUCUUACAAGUUUCUAGUGAGUACAUUCAAUCAGGAUAGUAACAAAGUGGGCUCUAUAUCACCUAUACUCAAGCAGGUUCUAUAUUUCUUCCUUUUGAACUGUGGCAGCAUUUGAGUUUCAACUUUUUCAACAUAUAGGAAGAAGAAAUUCAGGAAUGUGUUUGGCGGAGAAGGCUUGCCCCCUUAUUGGGUACUAUAACACAACCAUAUAUUGACCAGUUAUUAUCGGUCAAUAUGCAUUAUAUAUUGUUCAUACUUUGAUGAGUAAAUUCCUCCUGCUUCCCCAGACAACAAUUUUAUCCUCCUAUAUGUUAUGAAGAAGUUAUGAAGAGCUAAGGCUCUCCAUUAUAGUCUCUGGUGGCAGUUUUUUGCCACCCUGAGUAAUGCUGGCUUCUUCUGGGAGUAGUCCAACAUUGUGUUGGAUGUCAAUGGAUGCACUGUCUUCUGACUGCAGAAUGGCAUUUAUCAUUAAGGAAAACUUAGGUAACAGUUCAUGUAGUUUUAAACCACCUUUCUCUUGGGAAUUUUUCUGUGAUUUUAGUAUUUUAUUUUCCUUGGAAUAGAUUGAAAAGUUUAGACUUAGACACUGAAGAUACACUGCUGGUCAACUGAAGAGUGAAAACGGCUCUAGUGUUUUCUGGAGGAUGGGAGCACGGUGAUGAGUGCUGGAGAGUCUAUAGAAAACUCUUCUCAGACACUUUGAUUCUUGAAUCCCAUACCCAUUUCAAUUGCUUUAGACACCUCUUUUCCCCUUCCAUCACUUGCUUUUUAUUUUUUACAGCGGUCAUUAAUCGGUUCCCUUUAGCUAGAACACAUUUCUCUAUCUUCCCCUAAGAGUACAGCAAACAAAUUAAGUUCAAUAAAGAACUCAUAUUACAAAAAAUUACUUCCUUGUGCUAGGAAGUGUAAUAAGGUCCUAGAAAUUGUUCAAUGCUGACUGUAGUUCAGUUUAUAAACACCCUUCAAGCAUUGAGCACUCUGCACUUGGAGCAAGAGCACAUCUAAAACGGAAGGCACUUAGCAAGGAAUUAUCCAUUACCCUUUCUCCCCCCCCAACUAGCUUAAAACACACACACACACACACACACACACACACACACACACAGAAAACCCACUGAAAUGGGAUUCCCUGAGAGGAACUGGGUUUUGCUGGAGGAUGAUGAGAUCAUGCUAAACCUAGUGAGACUGUUUUCAAAUUUCAAAUUGAAACAUUUAUUUAAUUAUCUUUGUACUGUGACAGGAAAGAAAUUGUAUUAUUGCAUCUGCCACUAAGGGAAGAGUAGUUGAUUAGCUAGUUCUAACUUGUAGAAUUCUCUUGAACCAUUCUCUCAAAGCACAUUUCUUCUUAUGUUCAGUGAUAGGGGAAUAGGACCAGCAUUUUCUAUUUCUUCUAAUGAGCCUUCUAAUGGUGUAAUGCCUGAUGCAUUUAAUUUUUAUUUUAGAAAACAUACAUGUCAUUGAGACUAAAUCUAUUUAUUGUUCACUGUAAAUUUCCCCCAAGAUGUGUUUUUGUUUAAAAAUCAUUAAUAAUUCAUACUUUACAGUUAAAAGUGUAUUUAUUCCUUCAAUAAAAAUAUAAUAAAUGGCCAGGCAGUGGUGGUACACAUCUUUAAUCCCAGCACUCAGGAGGCAGAGGCAGGCAGAAUUCUGUGAGUUCAGGACCAGCCUGGUCUACAGGAGCUAGUUCCAGGACAGCCUCCAAAGCCACAGAGAAACCCUGUCUUGAAAAAAUAUAUAUAAUGAAUACAUAUUAAAUGAAAACAUGGAGUUUUAUGUAUAAUAUAAUGUCAGCAAUUAAAAACAUUUAAAAAUGUACAAAAUGAAUGAAUGAGUGAUUAAAAAGUUUCAUGUAAAGAGACAAAUGAAAAAUAGAUAAUGGCUAUUAUGAAUAAAGCUACCAUGAACAUAGGUGAGCAAGUGUCUUUGUGGUGGUAUUGAUUGUCUUUUGGGUAUACCACUCUUUUGCUCAAGAGUGUUAUAGUUGGGCAUUGAGGUAGAUCAAUUCCCAAUUUUCUGAGGAAUCACCAUAUUGACUUCCAUAGUGGCUGAACAAGUUUACAUUCCUAACAGGAAGAGUGUUCCCUUGCUCCACAUCCUUG